GGUCUAGAUGAGUCGCUUAAUGAAAGUGAAGAGCCUCCCCCACCAUAUGACGUCACAUUACAAGACCAAAACGUCUUUUGUAAUUUUCUACUCGUGGCUACAAAUCCAGACCCAAGUGAGGAGCCACCCCCAUCAUAUGAAGACGCACUACAAGACGAACACUUACAGUUAGCAGUCUCUGAAAGGGCGUCUUCUGUCGUGGGAGCAGGAAAUGGAAUUCGC
Molecule: long non-coding RNA, 222 nt
Organism: Stylophora pistillata
Lineage: Eukaryota; Metazoa; Cnidaria; Anthozoa; Scleractinia; Pocilloporidae
Source: RefSeq, a predicted model, not a curated record